GUGUCAGCAGCCGCGGUAAGACGAACCGUCCAAACGUUAUUCGGAAUUACUGGGCUUAAAGGGUGCGUAGGCGGCGCGGAAAGUAGGGUGUGAAAUCCCUCGGCUUAACCGAGGAAUGGCGCUCUAAACUACCGUGCUUGAGGAAGAUAGAGGAGAGCGGAACUUAGGGUGGAGCGGUGAAAUGCGUUGAUAUCCUAAGGAACACCGGUGGCGAAGGCGGCUCUCUGGAUCUUUUCUGACGCUGAGGCACGAAAGCUAGGGGAGCGAACGGGAUUAGAAACCCUGGUAGUCC
This 292-nucleotide ribosomal RNA is filed under the name uncultured bacterium. RNAcentral describes it as "partial 16S ribosomal RNA". It matches the Rfam family "Bacterial small subunit ribosomal RNA", at positions 505 to 796 of the family's 1533-position model. The record is from RNAcentral.